CCUACGGGAGGCAGCAGUGGGGAAUAUUGGACAAUGGGGGCAACCCUGAUCCAGCCAUGCCGCGUGUGUGAAGAAGGCCCUCGGGUUGUAAAGCACUUUCAGUGAGGAAGAACGCCUGGUGGUUAAUACCCAUCAGGAAAGACAUCACUCACAGAAGAAGCACCGGCUAACUCCGUGCCAGCAGCCGCGGUAAUACGGAGGGUGCGAGCGUUAAUCGGAAUUACUGGGCGUAAAGCGCGCGUAGGUGGCUUGAUAAGCCGGUUGUGAAAGCCCCGGGCUCAACCUGGGAACGGCAUCCGGAACUGUCAAGCUAGAGUGCAGGAGAGGAAGGUAGAACUCCCGGUGUAGCGGUGAAAUGCGUAGAGAUCGGGAGGAAUACCAGUGGCGAAGGCGGCCUUCUGGACUGACACUGACACUGAGGUGCGAAAGCGUGGGUAGCAAACAGGAUUAGAUACCCGGGUAGUC
Molecule: ribosomal RNA, 465 nt
Filed under: Vreelandella stevensii
Lineage: Bacteria; Pseudomonadati; Pseudomonadota; Gammaproteobacteria; Oceanospirillales; Halomonadaceae
Description: partial 16S ribosomal RNA
Rfam family: Bacterial small subunit ribosomal RNA
Source: RNAcentral